UGUGGUUUAUAUUACUAUAAUUUAAAAUCAAACCAAUCGGAUAAAGAAACCGAGUCGUUACAAUUCUUCCCCACUUAAUCGGAAUUCGUCCCGAAUUCCAAGACGGAACCCGAGAAUAACUUCAAUAGCUACGAAAGAAAUAAUAUAAAAACAAACAAUGGAAACAAACUUAACUUGGUCUUCUCCUGCAAAGAAAAAAAAAUCAGAAACACUAAGAACUAGCCGAAUGAUACUGGAAACAUUGAAAACCGUUGAAAU
This 258-nucleotide long non-coding RNA is filed under the name Brassica napus (rape). RNAcentral describes it as "long non-coding RNA (BNAP_LNC004269)". The record is from RNAcentral. Lineage: Eukaryota; Viridiplantae; Streptophyta; Magnoliopsida; Brassicales; Brassicaceae.